UUCUUAGUGGCGGACGGGUUAGUAACACGUGAGAAUCCUACCCUUGAGUGGGGAAUAGCCUUUCGAAAGGAAGAUUAAUGCCCCAUAGUCUCUACGGAGUAAAGAUGCCUUCGGGUGUCGCUUAAGGAUGGGCUCGCGGCCUAUCAGCUAGUUGGUGAGGUAAGAGCUCACCAAGGCAACGACGGGUAGCUGGUCUGAGAGGACGAUCAGCAACACUGGAACUGAGACACGGUCCAGACACCUACGGGUGGCAGCAGUCGAGAAUCAUUCACAAUGGACGAAAGUCUGAUGGUGCAACGCCGCGUGGAGGAUGACGGCCCUAGGGUUGUAAACUCCUGUCAUCAGGGAGUAAGACUUAUUCGUUAAUAGCGUGUAAGUUUGAUAGUACCUGAAGAGGAAGGGACGGCUAACUUCGUGCCAGCAGCCGCGGUAAUACGAAGGUCCCAAGCGUUGUUCGGAAUAACUGGGCGUAAAGCGUGUGUAGGCCGCGCGGAAAGUCGGAUGUGAAAGCCCA
RNAcentral lists this ribosomal RNA (514 nucleotides) under uncultured Roseibacillus sp. Its description in RNAcentral is "bacterial SSU rRNA". It matches the Rfam family "Bacterial small subunit ribosomal RNA", at positions 89 to 604 of the family's 1533-position model. Lineage: Bacteria; Pseudomonadati; Verrucomicrobiota; Verrucomicrobiia; Verrucomicrobiales; Verrucomicrobiaceae. The record is from RNAcentral.